This 490-nucleotide ribosomal RNA is filed under the name uncultured bacterium. Its description in RNAcentral is "partial 16S ribosomal RNA". It matches the Rfam family "Bacterial small subunit ribosomal RNA", at positions 30 to 507 of the family's 1533-position model. The record is from RNAcentral.
AUUGAACGCUGGCGGCAGGCCUAAUACAUGCAAGUCGAACGGUAACAGGAAGAAGCUUGCUUCUUUGCUGACGAGUGGCGGACGGGUGAGUAAUGUCUGGGAAACUGCCUGAUGGAGGGGGAUAACUACUGGAAACGGUAGCUAAUACCGCAUAACGUCGCAAGACCAAAGAGGGGGACCUUCGGGCCUCUUGCCAUCGGAUGUGCCCAGAUGGGAUUAGCUAGUAGGUGGGGUAACGGCUCACCUAGGCGACGAUCCCUAGCUGGUCUGAGAGGAUGACCAGCCACACUGGAACUGAGACACGGUCCAGACUCCUACGGGAGGCAGCAGUGGGGAAUAUUGCACAAUGGGCGCAAGCCUGAUGCAGCCAUGCCGCGUGUAUGAAGAAGGCCUUCGGGUUGUAAAGUACUUUCAGCGGGGAGGAAGGGAGUAAAGUUAAUACCUUUGCUCAUUGACGUUACCCGCAGAAGGAGCACCGGCUAACUCCGUG